ACGCUCGACACCUACGGGAGGCUGCAGUGGGGAAUAUUGCACAAUGGGGGAAACCCUGAUGCAGCGACGCCGCGUGGAGGAAGAAGGUCUUCGGAUUGUAAACUCCUGUUGUUGGGGAAAAAGAGGAUGGUACCCAACAAGGAAGUGACGGCUAACUACGUGCCAGCAGCCGCGGUAAUCUGAGGCGGGCUGGCAAGGC
This 199-nucleotide ribosomal RNA is filed under the name uncultured bacterium. RNAcentral's name for it is "partial 16S ribosomal RNA". It matches the Rfam family "Bacterial small subunit ribosomal RNA", at positions 328 to 539 of the family's 1533-position model. The record is from RNAcentral.